UACGUAGGGGGCAAGCGUUGUCCGGAAUCAUUGGGCGUAAAGCGCGUGUAGGCGGUUCGGUAAGUCUGCUGUGAAAGUCCAGGGCUCAACCCUGGGAUGCCGGUGGAUACUGUCGGACUAGAGUACGGAAGAGGCGAGUGGAAUUCCCGGUGUAGCGGUGAAAUGCGCAGAUAUCGGGAGGAACACCAAGUGCGAAGGCAGCUCGCUGGGACGUUACUGACGCUGAGACGCGAAAGCGUGGGGAGCAAACAGG
This 253-nucleotide ribosomal RNA is filed under the name uncultured bacterium. RNAcentral's name for it is "partial 16S ribosomal RNA". It matches the Rfam family "Bacterial small subunit ribosomal RNA", at positions 524 to 776 of the family's 1533-position model. The record is from RNAcentral.